AUUGGGGCGACCUGAUCCUUCAGUUCGGCUGGCUACCACACAGGUGCUGCAUGGCUGUCGUCAGCUCGUGUCGUGAGAUGUUGGGUUAAGUCCCGCAACGAGCGCAACCUCAUCUUCAGUUGCCAUCGGGUAGAGCCGGGCACUCUGAAGAAACUGCCGGUGACAAGCCGGAGGAAGGCGGGGAUGACGUCAAGUCCUCAUGGCCUUUAUGGGCUGGGCUACACACGUGCUACAAUGGCGGUGACAGUGGGUUGGAGCGAAGGAGCGAUCCGGAGCCAAUCCCCAAAAGCCGUCUCAGUUCGGAUUGCACUCUGCAACUCGAGUGCAUGAAGCUGGAAUCGCUAGUAAUCGCGGAUCAGCACGCCGCGGUGAAUACGUUCCCGGGCCUUGUACACACCGCCCGUCACACCAUGGGAGUUGGUUCUACCUGAAGGCGGUGCGCCAACCGUAAGGGGGCAGCCGACCACGGUAGGGUCAGCGACUGGGGUGAAGUCGUAACAAGGUAGGCGUAGUGCU
Molecule: ribosomal RNA, 516 nt
Filed under: uncultured bacterium
Lineage: Bacteria
Description: bacterial SSU rRNA
Rfam family: Bacterial small subunit ribosomal RNA
Source: RNAcentral